UUAAAUUGAAGAGUUUGAUCAUGGCUCAGAUUGAACGCUGGCGGCAGGCCUAACACAUGCAAGUCGGACGGUAGCACAGAGAGCUUGCUCUCGGGUGACGAGUGGCGGACGGGUGAGUAAUGUCUGGGGAUCUGCCCGAUAGAGGGGGAUAACCACUGGAAACGGUGGCUAAUACCGCAUAACGUCGCAAGACCAAAGAGGGGGACCUUCGGGCCUCUCACUAUCGGAUGAACCCAGAUGGGAUUAGCUAGUAGGCGGGGUAACGGCCCACCUAGGCGACGAUCCCUAGCUGGUCUGAGAGGAUGACCAGCCACACUGGAACUGAGACACGGUCCAGACUCCUACGGGAGGCAGCAGUGGGGAAUAUUGCACAAUGGGCGCAAGCCUGAUGCAGCCAUGCCGCGUGUAUGAAGAAGGCCUUCGGGUUGUAAAGUACUUUCAGCGGGGAGGAAGGCGAU
This 458-nucleotide ribosomal RNA is filed under the name Pantoea ananatis. Its description in RNAcentral is "bacterial SSU rRNA". It matches the Rfam family "Bacterial small subunit ribosomal RNA", at positions 1 to 455 of the family's 1533-position model. Lineage: Bacteria; Pseudomonadati; Pseudomonadota; Gammaproteobacteria; Enterobacterales; Erwiniaceae. The record is from RNAcentral.